GCGAUAGAUGGGCAUGCGGCGCAUUAGCUAGUCGGCGGGGUAACGGCCCACCGAGGCGACGAUGCGUAGGGGUUCUGAGAGGAAGGUCCCCCACACUGGUACUGAGACACGGACCAGACUCCUACGGGAGGCAGCAGUGAGGAAUAUUGGUCAAUGGGCGAGAGCCUGAACCAGCCAAGUCGCGUGAGGGACGACGGUCCUAUGGAUUGUAAACCUCUUUUGUCGGGGAGCAACGAGACCACGUGUGGUCGAAGGGAGAGUACCCGAAGAAAAAGCAUCGGCUAACUCCGUGCCAGCAGCCGCGGUAAUACGGAGGAUGCGAGCGUUAUCCGGAUUUAUUGGGUUUAAAGGGUGCGUAGGCGGAAGUUUAAGUCAGUGGUUAAACUGCGGGGCUCAACCCCGUAUCGCCAUUGAAACUGGAUUUCUAGAGUGGGUGAGAAGUACGCGGAAUGCGUGGUGUAGCGGUGAAAUGCAUAGAUAUCACGCAGAACUCCGAUUGCGAAGGCAGCGUACCGGCGCCCAACUGACGCUGAAGCACGAAAGCGUGGGUAUCGAACAGGAUUAGAUACCCUGGUAGUCCACGCAGUAAACGAUGAAUACUAAUUGUUCGGCAAGAGAGAUUGCUGAGUGAUACAGCGAAAGCGUUAAGUAUUCCACCUGGGGAGUACGCCGGCAACGGUGAAACUCAAAGGAAUUGACGGGGGCCCGCACAAGCGGAGGAACAUGUGGUUUAAUUCGAUGAUACGCGAGGAACCUUACCCGGGCUCAAACGACAGGGGAAUAUCAUGGAAACGUGAUAGCCAGCAAUGGUCGCUGUCGAGGUGCUGCAUGGUUGUCGUCAGCUCGUGCCGUGAGGUGUCGGCUUAAGUGCCAUAACGAGCGCAACCCCCAUUGAUAGUUGCUAACAGGUGAAGCUGAGGACUCUAUCGAGACUGCCGGCGCAAGCUGUGAGGAAGGCGGGGAUGACGUCAAAUCAGCACGGCCCUUACGUCCGGGGCGACACACGUGUUACAAUGGCAGGUACAGCGGGAAGCCAUAUGGCGACAUAGCGCAGAACCCGAAAACCUGUCUCAGUUCGGAUUGGAGUCUG
Molecule: ribosomal RNA, 1090 nt
Filed under: uncultured bacterium
Lineage: Bacteria
Description: bacterial SSU rRNA
Rfam family: Bacterial small subunit ribosomal RNA
Source: RNAcentral